This 474-nucleotide ribosomal RNA is filed under the name uncultured bacterium. RNAcentral's name for it is "bacterial SSU rRNA". It matches the Rfam family "Bacterial small subunit ribosomal RNA", at positions 17 to 518 of the family's 1533-position model. The record is from RNAcentral.
UUCUGGCUCAGACGAACGCUGGCGGCAUGGAUUAGGCAUGCAAGUCGAACGAAGUAGCAAUACUAGUGGCGCAAGGGUGAGGAACGCGUGAGUGACUUACCGCAAGUUUGGAACAGCUCCUGGAAACGGGAAUUAAUACCGGAUGUGAUCAACGGGCUGCAUGGUUUGUUGAUUAAAGCAGUAAUGCGCUUGCGGAUGGGCUCGCGUCCCAUUAGCUAGUUGGUGAGGUAACGGCCCACCAAGGCCAUGAUGGGUAGCUGGUCUGAGAGGACGACCAGCCACACUGGGACUGAGAACUGCCCAGACUCCUACGGGAGGCUGCAGUCGAGAAUUUUGGGCAAUGGACGAAAGUCUGAACCCCCAGCAAUGCCGCGUGCGGGAUGAAGGUCUUCGGAUUGUAAACCGCUGUUUGGAGGGACGAAAUUUGACGGUACUUCCAGAGAAAGCCACGGCUAACUACGUGCCAGCCGCAGC